GCCAAUGACAUUUAGGUUAGCACCGUGUCAGCCAAUGACAUUUAGGAUAGCCCUGUGACAGCCAAUGACAUUUAGGAUAGUACUGUGACAGCCAAUGACAUUUAGGUUAGCACCGUGUCAGCCAAUGACAUUUAGGAUAGCCCUGUGACAGCCAAUGACAUUUAGGAUAGUACUGUGACAGCCAAUGACAUUUAGGUUAGCACCGUGUCAGCCAAUGACAUUUAGGAUAGCCCUGUGACAGCCAAUGACAUUUAGGAUAGUACUGUGACAGCCAAUGACAUUUAGGUUAGCACCGUGUCAGCCAAUGACAUUUAGGAUAGCCCUGUGACAGCCAAUGACAUUUAGGAUAGUACUGUGACAGCCAAUGACAUUUAGGUUAGCACCGUG
Long non-coding RNA from Brienomyrus brachyistius, 387 nucleotides. RefSeq lists it as uncharacterized. The record is from RefSeq and is a predicted model, not a curated record. The transcript has 3 exons. Lineage: Eukaryota; Metazoa; Chordata; Actinopteri; Osteoglossiformes; Mormyridae.